GCUCAGGAUGAACGCUAGCUACAGGCUUAACACAUGCAAGUCGAGGGGUAGCAGGGUAGCAAUACCGCUGACGACCGGCGCACGGGUGAGUAACACGUAUCCAACCUUCCCAUAACUCAGGGAUAGCCUUUCGAAAGAAAGAUUAAUACCUGAUAGUACUUAAGAAAGGCAUCUUUUUUAAGUUAAAGAUUUAUUGGUUAUGGAUGGGGAUGCGUUCCAUUAGAUAGUUGGUGAGGUAACGGCUCACCAAGUCUUCGAUGGAUAGGGGUUCUGAGAGGAAGGUCCCCCACAUUGGUACUGAGACACGGACCAAACUCCUACGGGAGGCAGCAGUGAGGAAUAUUGGUCAAUGGGCGAGAGCCUGAACCAGCCAAGUAGCGUGAA
This 384-nucleotide ribosomal RNA is filed under the name uncultured Bacteroidales bacterium. RNAcentral describes it as "bacterial SSU rRNA". It matches the Rfam family "Bacterial small subunit ribosomal RNA", at positions 22 to 405 of the family's 1533-position model. The record is from RNAcentral. Lineage: Bacteria; Pseudomonadati; Bacteroidota; Bacteroidia; Bacteroidales.